UGUGUACAGGUUUUGGCUUGCUAUGAGAGAGUACUGACUACUUGUUACCCAGCAUUCCUCAAAAUGUUUCCAUUUUUUGGACGCUUCCUGGCAUUUGAAGUGCUGAAGACGGUUAAACGCAUCACAGUCACACCAAACAACAAUAAUUAUCCCAAUUGGAUUCUAAUUCAUAUCCCUCGAGUAAUGAUUCGAGAUCUACGCAUUUUUAUGGAUUCUAAAAUUGUUAAAGUCGCGCUUAAUGUCCUAGAAAAGAAAAGAAAAGAACGACAUGAUAUGGACGAAAAGGAACAAUUCAAUGAACGAAUCACCAAAAUGGAAAAUACAUUAGAGGAAAUAGCGGACAGAUUGAAUGACGUAUUGAAAAAAAUGGAGUGAAUGCAAUUAUGUUGGGUUUCAUUUUCACCGUUACAUGGAAUGUACAUGAAAUGUAAUAGGAUUAUUUUGAGCAUUUCCAUUCUAUACAAACGGCAAGAAGUUGCUAUCAUACAAACGAUACAAUAGUAUUCAAGCCAUCUCAUUGUUCCUGUUUUAUUUGAGUACUCCUACUUAUAUUUUUUAUCUAUGUAAAUAAACCACAAAAGAAAUAAGAUCGUA
Sitodiplosis mosellana (orange wheat blossom midge) is the source of this 594-nucleotide long non-coding RNA. RefSeq lists it as uncharacterized. The record is from RefSeq and is a predicted model, not a curated record. The transcript is spliced from 2 exons. NCBI's taxonomy places the organism in Eukaryota, Metazoa, Arthropoda, Insecta, Diptera, Cecidomyiidae.